This 849-nucleotide ribosomal RNA is filed under the name uncultured marine bacterium. Its description in RNAcentral is "bacterial SSU rRNA". It matches the Rfam family "Bacterial small subunit ribosomal RNA", at positions 52 to 896 of the family's 1533-position model. The record is from RNAcentral.
CACAUGCAAGUCGUGCGAGAAAGUAUCUUCGGAUAUGAGUAGAGCGGCGGACGGGUGAGUAACGCGUAGGAAUCUACCUAGUAGAAGGGGAUAGCCCGGGGAAACCCGGAUUAAUACCGUAUACCUCCUUCGGGAGAAAGAAGGCCUCUCUUUGAAGCUUUCGCUACUAGAUGAGCCUGCGUAAGAUUAGCUUGUUGGUGAGGUAAAGGCUCACCAAGGCUACGAUCUUUAGCUGGUCUGAGAGGACGAUCAGCCACAUUGGGACUGAGACACGGCCCAGACUCCUACGGGAGGCAGCAGUGGGGAAUAUUGGACAAUGGGCGCAAGCCUGAUCCAGCCAUACCGCGUGUGUGAAGAAGGCCUUCGGGUUGUAAAGCACUUUAAGCAGGGAGAAAAAGUUAUAAGUUAAUACCUUAUAACCCUGAUGUUACCUGCAGAAUAAGCACCGGCUAAUUCCGUGCCAGCAGCCGCGGUAAUACGGAAGGUGCAAGCGUUAAUCGGAAUUACUGGGCGUAAAGCGCGCGUAGGUGGUUUGUUAAGUUGGAUGUGAAAGCCCUGGGCUCAACCUAGGAACUGCAUCCAAAACUAACUCACUAGAGUACGAUAGAGGGAGGUAGAAUUCAUAGUGUAGCGGUGGAAUGCGUAGAUAUUAUGAAGAAUACCAGUGGCGAAGGCGGCCUCCUGGAUCUGUACUGACACUGAGGUGCGAAAGCGUGGGUAGCGAACAGGAUUAGAUACCCUGGUAGUCCACGCCGUAAACGAUGACAACUAGCUGUUGGGAGACUAUGUCUUUCAGUGGCGCAGCUAACGCUUUAAGUUGUCCGCCUGGGGAGUACGGCCGCAAGGCUA